RNAcentral lists this ribosomal RNA (2931 nucleotides) under Escherichia coli. RNAcentral describes it as "bacterial LSU rRNA". It matches the Rfam family "Bacterial large subunit ribosomal RNA". The record is from RNAcentral. Lineage: Bacteria; Pseudomonadati; Pseudomonadota; Gammaproteobacteria; Enterobacterales; Enterobacteriaceae.
GGGUUGUGAGGUUAAGCGACUAAGCGUACACGGUGGAUGCCCUGGCAGUCAGAGGCGAUGAAGGACGUGCUAAUCUGCGAUAAGCGUCGGUAAGGUGAUAUGAACCGUUAUAACCGGCGAUUUCCGAAUGGGGAAACCCAGUGUGAUUCGUCACACUAUCAUUAACUGAAUCCAUAGGUUAAUGAGGCGAACCGGGGGAACUGAAACAUCUAAGUACCCCGAGGAAAAGAAAUCAACCGAGAUUCCCCCAGUAGCGGCGAGCGAACGGGGAGCAGCCCAGAGCCUGAAUCAGUGUGUGUGUUAGUGGAAGCGUCUGGAAAGGCGUGCGAUACAGGGUGACAGCCCCGUACACAAAAAUGCACAUGCUGUGAGCUCGAUGAGUAGGGCGGGACACGUGGUAUCCUGUCUGAAUAUGGGGGGACCAUCCUCCAAGGCUAAAUACUCCUGACUGACCGAUAGUGAACCAGUACCGUGAGGGAAAGGCGAAAAGAACCCCGGCGAGGGGAGUGAAAAAGAACCUGAAACCGUGUACGUACAAGCAGUGGGAGCACGCUUAGGCGUGUGACUGCGUACCUUUUGUAUAAUGGGUCAGCGACUUAUAUUCUGUAGCAAGGUUAACCGAAUAGGGGAGCCGAAGGGAAACCGAGUCUUAACUGGGCGUUAAGUUGCAGGGUAUAGACCCGAAACCCGGUGAUCUAGCCAUGGGCAGGUUGAAGGUUGGGUAACACUAACUGGAGGACCGAACCGACUAAUGUUGAAAAAUUAGCGGAUGACUUGUGGCUGGGGGUGAAAGGCCAAUCAAACCGGGAGAUAGCUGGUUCUCCCCGAAAGCUAUUUAGGUAGCGCCUCGUGAAUUCAUCUCCGGGGGUAGAGCACUGUUUCGGCAAGGGGGUCAUCCCGACUUACCAACCCGAUGCAAACUGCGAAUACCGGAGAAUGUUAUCACGGGAGACACACGGCGGGUGCUAACGUCCGUCGUGAAGAGGGAAACAACCCAGACCGCCAGCUAAGGUCCCAAAGUCAUGGUUAAGUGGGAAACGAUGUGGGAAGGCCCAGACAGCCAGGAUGUUGGCUUAGAAGCAGCCAUCAUUUAAAGAAAGCGUAAUAGCUCACUGGUCGAGUCGGCCUGCGCGGAAGAUGUAACGGGGCUAAACCAUGCACCGAAGCUGCGGCAGCGACGCUUAUGCGUUGUUGGGUAGGGGAGCGUUCUGUAAGCCUGCGAAGGUGUGCUGUGAGGCAUGCUGGAGGUAUCAGAAGUGCGAAUGCUGACAUAAGUAACGAUAAAGCGGGUGAAAAGCCCGCUCGCCGGAAGACCAAGGGUUCCUGUCCAACGUUAAUCGGGGCAGGGUGAGUCGACCCCUAAGGCGAGGCCGAAAGGCGUAGUCGAUGGGAAACAGGUUAAUAUUCCUGUACUUGGUGUUACUGCGAAGGGGGGACGGAGAAGGCUAUGUUGGCCGGGCGACGGUUGUCCCGGUUUAAGCGUGUAGGCUGGUUUUCCAGGCAAAUCCGGAAAACUAAGGCUGAGGCGUGAUGACGAGGCACUACGGUGCUGAAGCAACAAAUGCCCUGCUUCCAGGAAAAGCCUCUAAGCAUCAGGUAACAUCAAAUCGUACCCCAAACCGACACAGGUGGUCAGGUAGAGAAUACCAAGGCGCUUGAGAGAACUCGGGUGAAGGAACUAGGCAAAAUGGUGCCGUAACUUCGGGAGAAGGCACGCUGAUAUGUAGGUGAAGCGACUUGCUCGUGGAGCUGAAAUCAGUCGAAGAUACCAGCUGGCUGCAACUGUUUAUUAAAAACACAGCACUGUGCAAACACGAAAGUGGACGUAUACGGUGUGACGCCUGCCCGGUGCCGGAAGGUUAAUUGAUGGGGUCAGCGCAAGCGAAGCUCUUGAUCGAAGCCCCGGUAAACGGCGGCCGUAACUAUAACGGUCCUAAGGUAGCGAAAUUCCUUGUCGGGUAAGUUCCGACCUGCACGAAUGGCGUAAUGAUGGCCAGGCUGUCUCCACCCGAGACUCAGUGAAAUUGAACUCGCUGUGAAGAUGCAGUGUACCCGCGGCAAGACGGAAAGACCCCGUGAACCUUUACUAUAGCUUGACACUGAACAUUGAGCCUUGAUGUGUAGGAUAGGUGGGAGGCUUUGAAGUGUGGACGCCAGUCUGCAUGGAGCCGACCUUGAAAUACCACCCUUUAAUGUUUGAUGUUCUAACGUUGACCCGUAAUCCGGGUUGCGGACAGUGUCUGGUGGGUAGUUUGACUGGGGCGGUCUCCUCCUAAAGAGUAACGGAGGAGCACGAAGGUUGGCUAAUCCUGGUCGGACAUCAGGAGGUUAGUGCAAUGGCAUAAGCCAGCUUGACUGCGAGCGUGACGGCGCGAGCAGGUGCGAAAGCAGGUCAUAGUGAUCCGGUGGUUCUGAAUGGAAGGGCCAUCGCUCAACGGAUAAAAGGUACUCCGGGGAUAACAGGCUGAUACCGCCCAAGAGUUCAUAUCGACGGCGGUGUUUGGCACCUCGAUGUCGGCUCAUCACAUCCUGGGGCUGAAGUAGGUCCCAAGGGUAUGGCUGUUCGCCAUUUAAAGUGGUACGCGAGCUGGGUUUAGAACGUCGUGAGACAGUUCGGUCCCUAUCUGCCGUGGGCGCUGGAGAACUGAGGGGGGCUGCUCCUAGUACGAGAGGACCGGAGUGGACGCAUCACUGGUGUUCGGGUUGUCAUGCCAAUGGCACUGCCCGGUAGCUAAAUGCGGAAGAGAUAAGUGCUGAAAGCAUCUAAGCACGAAACUUGCCCCGAGAUGAGUUCUCCCUGACUCCUUGAGAGUCCUGAAGGAACGUUGAAGACGACGACGUUGAUAGGCCGGGUGUGUAAGCGCAGCGAUGCGUUGAGCUAACCGGUACUAAUGAACCGUGAGGCUUAACCUUACAACGCCGAAGGUGUUU